AUUGAACGCUGGCGGCAGGCUUAACACAUGCAAGUCGAGCGGAGCGAGGGUGCUUGCACCUUAGCUUAGCGGCGGACGGGUGAGGAAUGCUUAGGAAUCUGCCUAUUAGUGGGGGACAACAUUCCGAAAGGAAUGCUAAUACCGCAUACGCCCUACGGGGGAAAGCAGGGGAUCUUCGGACCUUGCGCUACUAGAUGAGCCUAAGUCGGAUUAGCUAGUUGGUGGGGUAAAGGCCUACCAAGGCGACGAUCUGUAGCGGGUCUGAGAGGAUGAUCCGCCACACUGGGACUGAGACACGGCCCAGACUCCUACGGGAGGCAGCAGUGGGGAAUAUUGGACAAUGGGCGGAAGCCUGAUCCAGCCAUGCCGCGUGUGUGAAGAAGGCCUUUUGGUUGUAAAGCACUUUAAGCGAGGAGGAGGCUACUUAGAUUAAUACUCUGGGAUAGUGGACGUUACUCGCAGAAUAAGCACCGGCUAACUCUGUGCCAGCCGCCGCGGUAA
This 501-nucleotide ribosomal RNA is filed under the name uncultured bacterium. Its description in RNAcentral is "partial 16S ribosomal RNA". It matches the Rfam family "Bacterial small subunit ribosomal RNA", at positions 30 to 523 of the family's 1533-position model. The record is from RNAcentral.